GGUGAACGGGGAGGAGUAGCGGGGGGAAUGGGUAGGGGGCGAGCGUGAAUGGGAAGGACGGGGCGUAAAGGGUGCGCAGGCGGCAGAGCAAGUCGCGUGUGAAAGCCCCGGGAUUAACGUGGGAAUUGCGCUCGAAACGACGUGGCUGGAGUGUGGCAGAGGAAGGUGGAAUUCCACGUGUAGCGGUGAAAUGCGUAGAGAUGUGGAGGAACACCAAUGGCGAAGGCAGCCUUCUGGGCCAACACUGACGCUCAUGCACGAAAGCGUGGGGAGCAAACAGGAUUAGAUACCCCAGUAGUC
RNAcentral lists this ribosomal RNA (300 nucleotides) under uncultured Mesorhizobium sp. Its description in RNAcentral is "bacterial SSU rRNA". The stretch from base 52 to 300 matches the Rfam family "Bacterial small subunit ribosomal RNA", at positions 547 to 795 of the family's 1533-position model. The record is from RNAcentral. Lineage: Bacteria; Pseudomonadati; Pseudomonadota; Alphaproteobacteria; Hyphomicrobiales; Phyllobacteriaceae.